This 253-nucleotide ribosomal RNA is filed under the name uncultured bacterium. RNAcentral's name for it is "partial 16S ribosomal RNA". It matches the Rfam family "Bacterial small subunit ribosomal RNA", at positions 524 to 776 of the family's 1533-position model. The record is from RNAcentral.
GACGGGGGAUGCAAGUGUUAUCCGGAAUCACUGGGCGUAAAGCGUCUGUAGGUGGUGAUGCAAGUCACUGGUGCAAAACUCUGGCUCAACCGGAGGAAAGACAGUGAAACUGCAUGACUAGAGCGUGGGAGAGGUAGAAGGAAUUCCCUGAGUAGCGGUGAAAUGCGUAGAUACAGGGAAGAACACCGGAAGCGAAAGCGUUCUACUGGAACACAACUGACACUGAGAGACGAAAGCUAGGGGAGCGAAUGGG